AUGGAAACUUCUCUGCCAUUUGGAUCGGAGAAUUUAUGGAGGAAAUCGGCUUUUAAAUUUCCAGAAACCACACGAUUAUAUAGCCAAAGGGAAUACGCCGCGCCUAAAAUCAUCCCAAGCGCUGCUAAUGUGGCUACUAAGCUAUUUCUUUGGAAAGCUCCUACUGAGAUGGGAAAUUCCCCGAUAAAGCUGCUAGUACCUGGUGAACUCAUAUUGGCCAAAGUGGAAGAGAAGGAAAUGGUAGAGAGAUUCGGCAUGGUGCUCACUAACCCUCCGUAA
Non-coding RNA from Vicia faba (fava bean), 279 nucleotides. NCBI's taxonomy places the organism in Eukaryota, Viridiplantae, Streptophyta, Magnoliopsida, Fabales, Fabaceae. The record is from the annotation of a GenBank genome assembly.